GUAACCCAUACAUGACUUCUCUAUGGAAAGGGGAGACCCUGAAGGUAACCCAUACAUGACUUCUCUAUGGAAAGGGGAGACCCUGAAGGUAACCCAUACAUGACUUCUCUAUGGAAGGGGAGACCCUGAAGGUAACCCAUACAAACCAAUGGAAGUAUGGAGAUACUUUUGUGGCCACAAAAGUAAGGGGUUAAAUAUGUCCUGAGCUUUCUUAUAUCUCCUAGACAUGGGACAGACACUUCAAAACCUUAUUCCUUAUGAUUUAUUUUUGGACUGUCUUUUUUUCCAUUUAUGAAUGCGUAAUUCAAUACAUUUCUAUGGGCUAUAGUAGUAAAUAUUUCAUUUCGAUACCUAAAGGGGUCCUAAAAUUCAAAAUGAAAUAGCUAAAUCAUCCAUUGUAUGAACAUCUUAAAACAAUUCCAUAUGUUAGCUUAGUUUUUUUUUCUUUAACCUCUUGAGAUGGGUUAAUGUGUUUUUAUUUUAAUUUUUUUAUUAACAGAAUGUUAAUGAAUGACAGAAUGUUAAAAUUAGGUGAAACAAUUAUUUAUUUAUUUUACACUUUUCAAAAGGAACCCAAUUCGUCGAACGACCCCUAAACUUUCUAAACGUUCUAAAUGAUCUAAACAUCCACUAAAAAACCAAAACACUUUGGAACGGUCUGAAUUGUCAGCCAAAUAUUCAGGAGAGACUUGGUGCUUUUGUUUUUGUCAGAUGGGUUACAAGAGCGAGGAUCUGUCUUUGAUUAUUUUCAGUGUGUUUUGAGUUUGGAGAAUUACCUGUCAAGUGCAUGUGUGUCCUUAAGAGCAGCAGUUUAACAUCAGCACUACCCCACACAACUCCUGUAACAUCUCACAAUAUCUCCAGUUUAUCUCUGCUCCAUGAUCACUAGCAUGUUAUCAUUCCAGAAGAGGAGACUUUUUAACUUUGAGCAUUUUAGUUUUCUCUGUCACAUGGAGUAAAUUAUAAUUCCCCUCUCUAAUUAAUGUUAAUGGAAGCCAUGAAGAUUCAGGCUGAGUGUCAGGAAGAGCCAGGAGGUGUCCGGACCGUGACAAAGUGAUGUUAACAGCCUGCCAGUUUCACU
This 1081-nucleotide long non-coding RNA is filed under the name Salmo salar (Atlantic salmon). Its description in RNAcentral is "lncRNA (ENSSSAG00000102895.1)". The record is from RNAcentral. Lineage: Eukaryota; Metazoa; Chordata; Actinopteri; Salmoniformes; Salmonidae.